RNAcentral lists this ribosomal RNA (420 nucleotides) under uncultured Nitrososphaerota archaeon. RNAcentral describes it as "bacterial SSU rRNA". It matches the Rfam family "Archaeal small subunit ribosomal RNA", at positions 459 to 879 of the family's 1478-position model. The record is from RNAcentral. Lineage: Archaea; Thermoproteati; Nitrososphaerota.
CAGCCGCCGCGGUAACACCAGCCCCUCGAGUGGUGGGGAUGAUUAUUGGGCCUAAAGCAUCCGUAGCCGGCUCUGUAAGUUUUCGGUUAAAUCUGUACGCUCAACGUACAGGCUGCCGGGAAUACUGCAGAGCUAGGGAGUGGGAGAGGUAGACGGUACUCGGUAGGAAGGGGUAAAAUCCUUUGAUCUAUUGAUGACCACCUGUGGCGAAGGCGGUCUACCAGAACACGUCCGACGGUGAGGGAUGAAAGCUGGGGGAGCAAACCGGAUUAGAUACCCGGGUAGUCCCAGCUGUAAACUAUGCAAACUCAGUGAUGCAUUGGCUUGUGGCCAAUGCAGUGCUGCAGGGAAGCCGUUAAGUUUGCCGCCUGGGAAGUACGUACGCAAGUAUGAAACUUAAAGGAAUUGGCUGGGGAGCAC